Molecule: ribosomal RNA, 253 nt
Filed under: Roseburia faecis M72/1
Lineage: Bacteria; Bacillati; Bacillota; Clostridia; Lachnospirales; Lachnospiraceae
Description: partial 16S ribosomal RNA
Rfam family: Bacterial small subunit ribosomal RNA
Source: RNAcentral
UACGUAUGGUGCAAGCGUUAUCCGGAUUUACUGGGUGUAAAGGGAGCGCAGGCGGUGCGGCAAGUCUGAUGUGAAAGCCCGGGGCUCAACCCUGGUACUGCAUUGGAAACUGUCGUACUAGAGUGUCGGAGGGGUAAGUGGAAUUCCUAGUGUAGCGGUGAAAUGCGUAGAUAUUAGGAGGAACACCAGUGGCGAAGGCGGCUUACUGGACGAUAACUGACGCUGAGGCUCGAAAGCGUGGGGAGCAAACAGG